GGAUCGAAAGACCUUAUGCUUUUGGAGCGGCCGAUGUCUGAUUAGCUAGUUGGUAAGGUAAAGGCUUACCAAGGCGACGAUCAGUAGUUGGUCUGAGAGGACGACCAGCCACACUGGGACUGAGACACGGCCCAGACUCCUACGGGAGGCAGCAGUGGGGAAUUUUGGACAAUGGGCGCAAGCCUGAUCCAGCAAUGCCGCGUGAGUGAAGAAGGCCUUCGGGUCGUAAAGCUCUUUCAGUCGAGAAGAAAAGAUUGUGACUAUUAAUCAUAAUUUAUGACGGUAUCGACAGAAGAAGCACCGGCUAACUACGUGCCAGCAGCCGCGGUAAUACGUAGGGUGCGAGCGUUAAUCGGAAUUACUGGGCGUAAAGGGUGCGCAGGCGGUUCUGCAAGUCAGAUGUGAAAUCCCCGGGCUUAACCUGGGAACUGCGUUUGAA
Molecule: ribosomal RNA, 439 nt
Filed under: uncultured beta proteobacterium
Lineage: Bacteria; Pseudomonadati; Pseudomonadota; Betaproteobacteria
Description: bacterial SSU rRNA
Rfam family: Bacterial small subunit ribosomal RNA
Source: RNAcentral